GACGAACGCUGGCGGCGUGCUUAACACAUGCAAGUCGAACGGAAAGGCCCUGCUUUUGUGGGGUGCUCGAGUGGCGAACGGGUGAGUAACACGUGAGUAACCUGCCCUUGACUUUGGGAUAACUUCAGGAAACUGGGGCUAAUACCGGAUAGGAGCUCCUGCUGCAUGGUGGGGGUUGGAAAGUUUCGGCGGUUGGGGAUGGACUCGCGGCUUAUCAGCUUGUUGGUGGGGUAGUGGCUUACCAAGGCUUUGACGGGUAGCCGGCCUGAGAGGGUGACCGGCCACAUUGGGACUGGGAUACGGCCCAGACUCCUACGGGAGGCAGCAGUGGGGAAUAGUGCACAAUGGGCGGAAGCCUGAUGCGGCAACGCCGCGUGCGGGAUGACGGCCUGCGGGUUGUAAACCGCUUUCGCCUGUGACGAAGCGUGAGUGACGGUAAUGGGUAAAGAAGCACCGGCUAACUACGUG
RNAcentral lists this ribosomal RNA (468 nucleotides) under uncultured bacterium. RNAcentral's name for it is "partial 16S ribosomal RNA". It matches the Rfam family "Bacterial small subunit ribosomal RNA", at positions 28 to 507 of the family's 1533-position model. The record is from RNAcentral.